UUUUUCGGGGCAGGGUGCGAUUCCCUACUGGCGGUAUAGUCCGCGACCCGCUUAGGCGGCUGAUCCGGUGUGACUCCGGGACCAACAGUAUAGUCUGGAUGGAAGAAC
RNAcentral lists this non-coding RNA (108 nucleotides) under bovine gut metagenome. Its description in RNAcentral is "FMN riboswitch (RFN element)". It matches the Rfam family "FMN riboswitch aptamer (RFN element)", at positions 8 to 131 of the family's 138-position model. Rfam says of the family: The RFN element is a highly conserved domain that is found frequently in the 5'-untranslated regions of prokaryotic mRNAs that encode for flavin mononucleotide (FMN) biosynthesis and transport proteins. The record is from RNAcentral.